Molecule: long non-coding RNA, 6549 nt
Organism: Nycticebus coucang (slow loris)
Lineage: Eukaryota; Metazoa; Chordata; Mammalia; Primates; Lorisidae
Exons: 4
Source: RefSeq, a predicted model, not a curated record
GUCACCUUUCAGCUCUGGGCUCAGCACCUCCUUCCUGAGAGCAGUCACAUCCCUGCCCUGCUUGCCUGGCAGGACCCUCCAGGCCUGCUGGACCUCAGGGAAGGAAGGGACCCUGGCCAUGCCGCUACUACUUCUGUAUCCCUGGCCGUGUGCCUCUGAGGGGGUGCUCUUAUUUUCUAUAUUUUACAGAAAAGCAAACCAAGGCACAGACAAGCUGAAAAACUGCUCAAGGUCACCUUGUUCCUGAGUGGCAAUUAGGACCUGAACCUCUGUUAAUGGCAGAGUCCAGGCCACAUAGCAUCUGCUGUAAAAUUCUGCUACCCCUGCCAAGCACAGCUGCCUGGGUGUGAAUGCUCUGGAGAUGGGUGUCUGUGCCCUGUGGAGGUGGCCCGUUCCAUUUCAUGGUGGCCUGACUGGUUGGAGCUCUGUGUAAUUAUGUAGAAUCUGUCCCCCUGGUGGGGAGGUGUGACUAUGGAAUGGGAAUUCAGGGCCAUCCACGAAGUCUGGAGUUUCUUAGGAGUGACAAUGAUUCUAGAGUCACAGGAGAAAUGAGAUAUGGUCUCUGUAAGAAUGCAUACUGCAAAGAUUUGUGUGUGUGUGUGUGUGUGUGUAUAUGAGAUAUUUAGGAUGUCUCUAAAAUAUUCUAGGAUAAAAAAAGAGAAAAAAUGUUCAGGACCAAAGAUGAAGCUGUGAUGGACAUGUGGGGGUUCAUGAAACUCUGCUCUCUUUUCUAUAUCCUUGAAAAUUUCCUUUAUAAAAAGCAAAAUGAAAACAAGUCUCCUGGUAGCCUUGACAUACUACAUUUAGGUCUUUCUCCUUUAAUGAUCCAAGGCCUGUUUGGGUCCCAUGUCCCAGCUAGCCUCUGACCCCACUGACUCCUACUCCCUUCCCUAAGUCCCUCUUGCUGAAGCCCUGACCUCCUAAGCCCGAAGAAUGGGCCUGUUGCAUGGACUUCCUCCCUGCUCUUGAGGCUAGGCCUCCCAACCUGGGGUAUGAGAACCCUGGAGGGACAAGGUGGUGGGAACCUGGAGGUACACAAAGCCACAGGACACGAUAGCACAGUCUUGUAGAGUAGGGCUGUCACACAGAGCUUUCUGUGAUGGUGAAGGUGCUCUACAAUGGCAGUAAGGUAGCCACUGCUCACAGGUGGCUAUUGAAUGCUUGGAAGGUGGUUGGUGUUGAAAGAACAAUUGAAUUUUAAGUUUCAUAGAAUUUUAAUUACAUUCACACAGCCACAGGCUGGUGGCUUAGCCCGAAGCAGUGCAGGCAGAGAUUCUACCUGGGGAUUGAAGACAGACCUGGGCUCCCAGUCCCAAACUCCCCACAUACUACCCUGGUGACUUUGGGCAAGGGAGCCUCCAAUCUCAGCCCCCUCGCAUGUGGAGAUGAGACUCCCCAUCCCAAAGGGUGUGGAGGACUCAUUGACACAUAAACAGGUGCUCAAUAACUGUGAAUCAUCAGAGCAGGGUGAGCAGAGAUGGUACAUCUGAGGGCAACAUGGAGAAGGUGGCAUUUGGCAUGCGCCAACGAGGAGGGCUGCAGCCAGGUCCCCCUGCCUUGCCCGCCUUCCUGAUGUGGUGGCCUCUUUUCCGCAGCAUGGGCUGCUUCAACCUGUCUCUGGACUCACUCAGCACCUACUGUAGCUGCUUCCUCAAAGUUCCCAAAUGUUCACUGAGUGGCCUUGCCUGACCCACAAAACUUGCCGGCAGCUUGACGCUGUGUCAAUUCCCCCACACCAGCUUCCUUGCUGGUGCCAUCUUAAGCCCUGCCCACUUGUGUCCAGUCUCAGCAGGCCAAACUCAUCUUCUUGGAAGCUGCACCACAUCGUUCCUUUUCUCAAUACCUUCCAUAGCCCCUGAGCUCACUCAGGAAAGCCAGAGUCCGUCCAAGAGCCAUAAGGCCCCUGCCCUCUAACCUCACUUCCUGCUGCUCUUUUCCCCGAUUCCAGCAACAAGACUCCUGGACUUCUCUCCGACAGGAGCAUGCUCCUGCCUCAGGGCCUCUCAACUUUCUGUCCCUCUUGCCUGAUACUCUUUCCCCAGAGGUCUGCCUUGGUUCCCUGACACUCCAUUCAGGCCUCUGCUCAAAGUCCUUUUAUCUGCCAGGUCAUCGUUGACCACUGUACGUGUAGCAUUACCCUGACCUCCCUGCUGUUCCCUGGUCCCUAUCCUAGUUUAUUUUCCCUUAAAGCCCUUAUUACUGACAUAGUAUAUAUUCACUUGCUUUUUAUCUGUUUCCCACAACUAGAAUGUUUACUCCAGGAGAGCAUGGACUUUGUUUCGUUUGCAGCCAUGCUCACCCCAAGAUUAACUGGUUGAACGAAUGACUACCUUCUGACCUCAUGCUUCUACUUUUUCAACGCAGUGCCCACUAUGUGCUGGGCUUUGGGGGACCUAUGGAGCUUCUGGUUUAGAGGAGGACAGGCAGCCAACAAGAAUCACCCAGGUAAGUGAGCAUUUGUGCAAAUGGAGAUGUUACAGAAGUACAAGUUACAAUGAUAACAUGUAGCUUCGGGACUUAAUCAGUUGGAUUGAACAAAGAGGAGCUUUUUAGAGGGGGUGACAUUUAAGCUGAGCUCUGAAGGAUGGGAAGGAAUGGGCCAGGGGAAAAGCCUUUUGAACAGAAGGAACAGCAUUUGCAAAGGCUCAGAGAUAGGAAGGACCAUCACACUAGAGAAAUGCAGAGGGGAGGUUAGUGUGGAAGACUCUACUGAGGGAAGGGGAGGGCAGGGUGGGACACAGGGCCUCUUUAAAGAGUCUGGAGUACAUGCUCAAGCAGCAGGAAGUCAGGAAGGGCUUUCAGUUGGGGCAGGGAGCUGGGAGACAAAAUGCCCUUCUGCCCCAUUUGUUGCUCUAGCUGCUAAUCCUUAGUUUCUUAUGUUGACCCCACCCUUCUCCCCACCUGCGCAUGGGCCCAGCCCCCUCUUGCUCAGGCUAACCACCCCCUCCCCUACCCCCAGCCUCCAGCUCAACCCAUUCAGCUUGCUCAGCACCCUCUUUCCACCUGAACCAAUGUCCUCAUCUGGUUCCACAUGACUAUCAGCAGCUGUACCAUUCUCCUGUGACUGGCUUGGACAGGGUGGAGUAGCAGCACCAUCGUCAUGCAUUCCUCCAACUUUUACAGUCACUCCAGCUUUAAAGUCUCUCUUUGAUUGGUGACUUGUAGCAAAUGAUUCUAAAAACCUCAGUUUCUGCUCUGUUUAAUUGGGUGGGUGAUAAUGCCCACUGCCUAGGGUUUUCAGGGCACACAAAAAAAUGACUUCUGCACAGAGCUUAGCACAAAGCUUGGCACAGAGUCCACCCUCAGAAAAUGCUAGCUUCUUCCUAAAAAUACCCUCACUUCUCCCAUGGUCCCUCGCAGUCAUGCGUUCCUGCCUCUGGCUUGUGUUUCCCAUUAGCUUAAAUGUGAACUGAACCCCACCUCUCCUUCCUUCCAGCCUAAAUACUUCCUUCUUCAGAUGAGCCCCUUCAUUCCUCCAUUCAACAAGCAUUUACUGUGCCCUUAGCAAAGAAAGAAAAGGAAGACCUUGUGCCUGCCCUUAAGAAGGCUGUAACCCAAUUCAAGGCAAAUCUACAAAGUGCAGGGAUUUCCUGCAUAAACUUUGGAAUCAGAAAUCCAGUUACUGAGACAAGGAAGAUUGCCUAGGAAGAAAGGAUUUAUUGUGGAGGAUUCCUCAGCUGGGAGAGGAGAGGAGUGCGCUGCAGAUGAACUGAGGCAGAAGGAACAAGAAACAGGACACUAGUUGAGGCUGCACAGCAAACAAGCCAUGGAGGCGGCAGAUUCCGGAGCCACCGCUCAACAGUGAAUCUCUCUGUUACCCGGGUAAGUACACCAAGGCACAGAAAGGCUGAGAUCCUUGCCCAGAGUCAGACAGUGACACAUUGGGGAUCUAGGAUUGUGGUUUCAGAGGUGAUGGCAGCUACCCCUCAUAUGGGCCUUGCCUGCCCGUACCUCGGGCUGACCUUGAUCUGUGUACUGUGAGGUGCUGGGUGCCACAUGGCACACACUGUCGUGCGAAGUGUGCUGACUUGGUGAGACUGGUUUAUUUAUGUAACCUGAGAUAUGCUGACUGAAGGAAACUCAGCACCCACAGAUGGAUGGGAGAUAUGGACCAGUUGUUUUUUUCUGAGCUGUUGAUGUUCCCCUUAGCCAAGGGUGCUACAGAGAGAGAGAUCAACAGUCGCCAGAUGUCUGGCGCUUGUGUCCUUAUGGCCCUCUGCUCAACAGCAAGAUCAGACCAAGGCUGGGUCACCAGCAGCACUCACUGAGCAUUUACUAUGUGCUGGGCUGUCCUGGAUAUUGUCUGGCUCCCUGGAGCAUCCAUCCAGGAGGUGACUUCUGGUAGGGGCAUGGCACUUGAUAAGUGUUUGUUGAAUGAGUGAAUGGAUCCCUAUAAGGACCCUGCAGGGCUGGGGUGAUCAUCCCCCUCUUAUAGACCAGGAAAUCCCAGAGAGGCUGUGAUUGGGUGUCUGCUGACAGGAGGGGAGCAUGCAAGGCCAGGCCUGGAUUUUCUGACUUUAAGCUUUCGACCUCCCCACCCACAGGCCCAGGACUGGGAAAUGGGGCUUCCUCAAUCUGGGGUGUCUUUGGCAGCCGGGAUAUUGCUGAGCAUGGCAGAAGUGAAGUUAGGACUCAGAUGGGGUGGGAGGUGUCAUUGUACCUCAGCUACUCUUUAUUGGACCACACAGAUUCAAGCUGCUCUUUCUUUUGCUCUGAGGUCUCUUAAAUAUUUGAAGUCAGUUUUAUGGUAGCUUUUAAUUUUCUUUUUCUUUCUUUCUUUUUUUUUUUUUUGAUACAGAGUCUCAUUAUGUCGCCCUUGGUAGAGUACUGUGGUGUCACAGCUCACAGCAACCUCAAACUCUUGGACUUAAGCGAUUCUCUUGUCUCGGCCUCCCAGUGCUGUAUCUGCUUAGUGAUGGUUGGCUCUCUCUAUCAACAUGGCGACCUCAUCUCCAUGGCAACUCUGGAGACGUUGCCUUGGUGACCAAGGAGGGAGCAAGUGAUGAGUCCCCUUCCCUGAAGCUCAGACUGACUUGGUCCCUGGUUUCAUGGUAUGAAUCUGUUGACCCUGGGAUGGGGGGAAUCUUGGAAUCUCUGCUUUCUCUGCCCCUGAUGCUCUAGUGGUGGACUAAAACUUGCCCCCAGUCUGACUUCGCUGGCUCCCACGACACCAGGUUGGUGAGAUGGGCCUUCCCCUGAGUCAACAGUCUGGCUUCUGUGUUCUUCUCAUGGAGCUGCAAGAACAUCCAGCUACUCAGGUUCAGGAUGGACCUGAAGCAUACUGGAUCAGUGGGGCUCAUCCUCCUGGAUCUCAAAGGUCAUGGCUUGCUCUCCCUUAGGAGAAACAAACAGAUCCUUUCCCCAGAAGGGACCAUUCACAUGUUUACAGAUGAAGGAAAAAUAUGUCUUUUUUUUGGUAUGUUUUAAGGUAAGUUUUAAGGAUGUAAACAUAGUAAGCAAUAUUGAUAAGAAUGCAUUUUAUUGCAGCAAAUUAAAAUCCAUAAAAAUGUACCAAUUUCACUUGUAGUUUGAAUAUUGAGAUUCUGUCCAGAGUAGCUACCAAGUACAGAGGCUUUGGCAAGUUCUUCUCAUUUAAUUGUCUUGGCACUCUCAUGAGAAUGUUAGUACUGCUGACUUACCUUUUUUCGUUUUUCUUUUUUUAGAUUAUAAAAACUUCCCUGUUAACCAAGACUUUUUAACAUGGAACAGAUUUCUUGAAUGAAAUGGAAAAUUUCCAGCACAUUGAAACAAAUGCCCAAGUCAUCACACAUAAAACACCCAGCGGGAAAAGACAAAACAGCAUGUUUAUAGAAUCCCUGGAAUAACCCUGAUUUUAUUCUCAGAUGCUUCCUCCAUCUACCAAGUGUAUUCUGGAUACAGUGCACACUGUGGCUUCUGGGGUCACACUUGGCUGAGGCUGUGGCCCUCAUCUGGCUGGGCUGUGGUGGCUGGCUCUACUCAGGAAGUAAGGCAGUUACCAGCAUGUUAAACAGUUUCUUGAACAUGCUUUAAAUAUCAAAGUGAUAAGAGGGUGAUGUAAUAAUGUUAUCAGAAAGUUGUUAGAAAGUAAGGGCAGGCUGGGUACAGUGACUCACACCUGUGAUCCUAGCACUCUGGGAGGCCAAGGCAGGAGGAUCACUACAGCUCAGGAGUUGGAGACCAGCCUGAACAAAAGCAAGACCCUGUCUCUACUAAAAAUAGAAAAAUUAGCCAAACAUAGUGGUGGGCGCCUAUAGUCCCAUCUAUUUGGGAGGCUGAGGCAGGAGGAUCACUUAAAAGUAAGGACAGCUGUUUAAAGCUUCAGGCUGAAAGGCGGCUUGCCAGCUUUAUUUCUUAGGCUUCUUGGGUAGUGGGCGCCGGAACAGCAAGAUGUGAGGUUCUGGGUCAUGCAUCAUAUAAUGGACCCAACCCCUGACUCUGAUGAAUGCCAAGGUUCCUCCAUUCAGAUUCAGACAUCAAAUAGGUUUUAGGGACCAGCUUGGCCAUGUCUUUGGGAAAAGUGACAUGCUGAUCCUUGUCUAAAUAGUAAAUUUGUUUGUGCAACAUUAU